This 2073-nucleotide ribosomal RNA is filed under the name human gut metagenome. RNAcentral's name for it is "bacterial LSU rRNA". It matches the Rfam family "Bacterial large subunit ribosomal RNA", at positions 502 to 2364 of the family's 2925-position model. The record is from RNAcentral.
UGUGAAGGAAAGGUGAAAAGGACCCCGGGAGGGGAGUGAAAGAGAACCUGAAACCUUGUGCCUACAAGCACAUAGAGCACAUCAACGUGUGAUAUGGUACUUUUUGUAGAACGGUCCGGCGAGCGAUUGUAUGUUGCGAGCUUAAGCGCUUAAGGCGUGGAGGCGUAGCGAGAGCGAGUCUGAAUAGGGCGUUCAGUAGCAUGCAAUGGGCCCGAAACCGGGUGACCUACCCAUGAUCAGGCUGAAGUGAAAGUAAAAUUUCAUGGAGGGCCGAACCGACCUCCGUUGAAAAGGCGGCGGAUGAAUUGUGGGUAGCGGAGAAAUUCCAAUCGAACUCGGAGAUAGCUGGUUCUCCCCGAAAUAGCUUUAGGGCUAGCCUCAUAUUAGAUACCCGGAGGUAAAGCACUGAAUGGCCUAGCGCCCGAGAGGGUAGCGAAGCCUAUCAAACUAAGAAUGCCGGAGUAUUGAUGUAUGGGAGUCAGACAGUGUGAGAUAAAUCUCAUUGUCAAAAGGGAAACAGCCCAGAUCUACAGCUAAGGUCCCAAAUUGUAUCUAAGUGGAAAACGAUGUGGAAAUACGCAGACAACCAGGAUGUUGGCUCAGAAGCAGCCACUCAUUUAAAGAGUGCGUAAUAGCUCACUGGUCGAGCGUCUCUGCGCGGAAAAUUUAACGGGGCUAAGAUACAAACCGAAGCUUAGGCUGCACGUAAGUGCGGGGUAGGGGAGCGUUGUGUAAGCGGAGAAACAGUAGCGUAAGCGGCUGUGGAGUUUACAGAAGUGAGAAUGCCGGAAUGAGUAGCGCGAAUGUGGUGAGAAUCCACAUGGCCGGAAACCUCAGGUUUUUGGAGGAAGGUUCGUCCGCUCCAAGUUAGGCGGGAGCUAAGGUCAGGCCGAAAGGCGUAGCCGAUGCACAGACGGUAGAGAUUCCGUCCCCACCGAAAGACUUAAGCACAGGGACACUUUCAGAAGGUCGGAGCCAGGUGUUGGUUCUGGUAGUGAUCGAGGGAAAUAUAGUACCGAAGUCCGGCUGGAAGAGAGGCGAGAAAAGCUGUGUGUAUGUUUAAGGUGCCCGUACCGCAAACCGACACAGGUAGGUAGGAAGAAGAUUCUAAGGCCAACGGGAGAAGGGUUGUUAAGGAACUCGGCAAGUUGACCCCGUAACUUCGGAAUAAGGGGUGCUCACGAGAGUGAGCCGCAGAGAAUAGGCCCAGGCAACUGUUUACCAAAAACACAGGUUUGUGCUAAAUCGAAAGAUGACGUAUACGAGCUGACGCCUGCCCGGUGCUGGAAGGUUAAAAGGAGAUGUGCAAGCAUUGAAUUGAAGCCCCAGUGAACGGCGGCCGUAACUAUAACGGUCCUAAGGUAGCGAAAUUCCUUGUCAGGUAAGUUCUGACCCGCAUGAAAGGCGUAAUGAUCUGGGCACUGUCUCAACAGCCCGCCCGGCGAAAUUGUAGUACCGGUGAAGAUGCCGGUUACCCGCGACAAGACGGAAAGACCCCAUGGAGCUUUACUGUAGCCUAAUAUUGGGUUUCGGUGUUGCAUGCACAGGAUAGAUGGGACGCUGGGAAGUGAGUGCUUUGGCAUUCAUGGAGCGGCCGUUGGGAUACCAUCCUUGCGACAUUGGAAUUCUAACCUGCGCCUUUGAAUCAAGGCGGGGGACAUUGUUAGGUGGGCAGUUUGACUGGGGCGGUCGCCUCCUAAAGAGUAACGGAGGCGUUCAAAGGUUCGCUCAGCUUGAACGGAAAUCAAGCAUGCCGAUAGCCGCUGAAGAAUCCCAGCCCCCAGAACACGACAAACACCAGCAGCGCCAGCACGUAGGCGAUGAACGCCGUCCGCAGAUCGUCGCCCGGCGGGGCGAAGCGGGUGAGCUUCUUAGUCCAGUUCAUCCUCGACGCCCUCCUUUCCGUUGUGCGCCUGCAGGAAUCCAAGAUAUCCGCAUAUGCCCGCGGCGAACAGCGCCGCCGCGCUUUGCAGGAUCCCCGCGGUCCGGCCGGAGCCGAACCCGACCGGCAGCACCAGCAGCAUCAAUCCGGUCAGCACGACCAGCGCCAGCCGCCGCCCGCCGUUCUUCCGC